This 478-nucleotide ribosomal RNA is filed under the name uncultured bacterium. Its description in RNAcentral is "partial 16S ribosomal RNA". It matches the Rfam family "Bacterial small subunit ribosomal RNA", at positions 28 to 523 of the family's 1533-position model. The record is from RNAcentral.
GACGAACGCUGGCGGCGUGCUUAACACAUGCAAGUCGAACGGUAAGGCCCUUCGGGGUACACGAGUGGCGAACGGGUGAGUAACACGUGGGUGAUCUGCCCUGCACUUCGGGAUAAGCCUGGGAAACUGGGUCUAAUACCGGCUAGGACCACUUCCUGCAGCGGUGGGGGUGGAAAGCUUUUGCGGUGUGGGAUGGGCCCGCGGCCUAUCAGCUUGUUGGUGGGGUGAUGGCCUACAAAGGCGACGACGGGUAGCCGGCCUGAGAGGGUGACCGGCCACACUGGGACUGAGAUACGGCCCAGACUCCUACGGGAGGCAGCAGUGGGGAAUAUUGCACAAUGGGCGCAAGCCUGAUGCAGCGACGCCGCGUGAGGGAUGACGGCCUUCGGGUUGUAAACCUCUUUCAGCACCGACGAAGCGAAAGUGACGGUAGGUGCAGAAGAAGGACCGGCCAACUACGUGCCAGCAGCCGCCGUAA